Hippoglossus stenolepis (Pacific halibut) is the source of this 166-nucleotide long non-coding RNA. RefSeq lists it as uncharacterized. The record is from RefSeq and is a predicted model, not a curated record. The transcript is spliced from 3 exons. NCBI's taxonomy places the organism in Eukaryota, Metazoa, Chordata, Actinopteri, Pleuronectiformes, Pleuronectidae.
CUGGGAAGGAGUUCAGCAAACAUCUCUAUUACUGUGACAUUGAAGUCAGUGAUGAUCAUGAAUAUCCUCAGGCUGACUCUGGUGGUCGUGCUGGUUCCAGUGCUGGUCUGGACUCUGUGGACGAGGAUGAAGAAAACUCUGAGCUUGAAAUCAGAAGCGAAUGAAG